This is an RNA transcript of Colius striatus (speckled mousebird), 4968 nucleotides long. It is a transcript of the gene named RasGEF domain family member 1C, with no coding region annotated. The transcript is spliced from 15 exons. NCBI's taxonomy places the organism in Eukaryota, Metazoa, Chordata, Aves, Coliiformes, Coliidae. The record is from RefSeq and is a predicted model, not a curated record.
UGGAAAACAUCUCCCACCUCUGUUCCCAGAUGGCAGUAAGAGCCACUCCAACUCACUCUAGGAAGGCAUGCCCCAAACGCUGAGUUCUACCAGUAUGUUUACCCCAUGUGGCUUCAGCCCUCAUCUACAUACUUCAAAAGAAGAUGAACAAGGAGGACUGAUCUUCCAGGAUGGAAACCUUACCUCAGCAUCUCUUGAUGCUCUAAUCCAACAUCUGAUACCUACCACUGAUUACUACCCUGAAAAAGCCUAUAUCUUUACAUUUCUGCUGAGCUCCAGACUCUUCAUCGAACCCCAUGAGCUUUUGUCCCGAGUUUGUCACAAGUGCAUUGAGCAGCAACGGCUGGAUGACCCUGUAUUGGACAAGGCUCGCAUCAGAAAGUUUGGACCCAAAAUCUUACAGCUGCUGACAGAGUGGACGGAGACAUUCCCAUAUGACUUUCAGGAAGAGCGGAUGAUUGGCCAUCUGAAAGACAUGAUUCACAGGAUAGCCCCGUGUGAUGAGGCCUACUGGAAAAAGAUGAAUCAGCUUUUGCAAACCCUGAAUCAGAAGCUUGCAGCCCUCAGCCAUGGGCAAGAAGGGAUCGUCAAGAUCAGUGCUGCUGUCUCUGAUAAGCUGGUGGCCUUUAAAAGUAAACCUCCAUCAAUUCAGAGAGAAAUCCUGAGUGUCUGCAGUGACCCUUACACUCUGGCUCAGCAGCUGACACAUGUGGAGCUGGAAAGGCUAAGUCACAUUGGACCUGAGGAGUUUGUGCAGGCAUUUGUACAUAAAGACCCUCUGGAUGGCACCAAGACUUGUUUCAGUGAACAAAAGAAGACCACUAACCUUGAGGCCUAUGUGAAAUGGUUCAAUAGACUCUGCUAUCUUGUAGCAACAGAAAUUUGCAUGCCUGCAAAAAAGAAACAGCGAGCACAAGUCAUCGAAUUCUUCAUUGACGUUGCCCGAGAGUGCUUUAACAUUGGCAAUUUUAAUUCACUGAUGGCAAUAAUUUCUGGAAUGAACAUGAGUCCAGUUUCCAGGCUAAAGAAGACUUGGUCAAAAGUGAAAACAGCCAAAUUUUUCAUUCUUGAGCACCAGAUGGACCCUACUGGUAACUUCUAUAACUACAGAACAGCAUUGCGGGGGGCUGCUCACAGAUCCCUCACCGCACACAGCAACAGGGAGAAGAUUGUGAUCCCUUUCUUCAGCCUGUUGAUCAAAGACAUUUAUUUUUUGAAUGAAGGAUGUGCUAAUCGCCUCCCAAAUGGACAUGUCAACUUUGAAAAAUUUCUGGAACUGGCUAAGCAAGUAGGAGAAUUUAUAACAUGGAAGCAAGUGGAAUGUCCCUUUGAACAAGACCCAAACAUCAUCCACUACUUGCAUACUGCUCCCAUUUUUACUGAAGAUGGUUUGUAUCUGGCUUCUUAUGAAAGCGAAAGUCCGGAAAACCAGACAGAAAAAGACAGGUGGAAAUCCUUAAGAUCCACUAUUUUAGGAAAGACUUGAAGAUUACAAGAUUACUGCAGUAGGUCAAAGAAAAGAAAUCCGCAAACAUUUUGCACUACUGAUUCCAAAGAUGCCUGUUUGGGAUUUAGACUUUGUUUGUUUGUUUGAGUAUUUUGUUGGGUUUUUUGACUGCCUAACACAAUGGGUGAACUGGAUUCAUCCACUGCAAUCAACAGAACUGUGUGCACAGUUGAAAGACGCUUUUCGAACUAGGAGACAUAGAAGAGGAAGGACAAACAGACUGAUUUGUGGCUGUGCCCAAACUGCAUCAGGAUCACUGUAAUUUUUGCCUCCGAAGGAAAACAUAAGAAAGUUGGGAGCACGGAGAACUGUGGUACUGCAAAGAGAAUGGAAAAGUAUAGGGGGGAAAAAAAAGGGGAAAGAAAAAGUACACAUGAAUAUUUCAGAAGCAGGUGCUUCAGACAGCAGCUCUUUAAACCCUCUGAGACUGUAAAAUUAAAUUGAACAGACACAGCAGCAAUCUGGUUAAUUGCUGAACGAAGAAAGAAUUUAAUCUUACAUUAGCAGUCCCCUGGCCUUGUUGAACAAAGCACUGACUGCUACAGGGAUAAGCUUCCAGCGGAUGAAAGCUGACAGCGCUCACUCGUACCUACGCGUGUACGUCACCUACAGACCACAGCAGCAUGGGACAAUCAUACACACCCCAUGAAUUUUUACAGAGAACAAUCCUGAAGUGUGACUGUUGCUUAGCUAUUCUUCCCACCCCUGUCAUCGCUCUUCUUACUGUGAAUCUGGGCAGAUCUGGGAGGGCACAGAGUGCUACAGAUGGUGUGGCCUAACGACACCGCCUCUCCCCCCAUCUCAAGUUGAACUUAAGAAGCAAAUGACUCUGGACUCAACACACCUCUAUUUAAUCUAUGUAGUGUAUUCCCUAGUUUUGUGGAUGCUGAGUUGCAUCUUUUAGAGGGUUUUAUCACACUUAAAAAUAUACUGCAUUGUCAUUUGAGAAAACAAAUAUUACCAAGUUCCAGUUAAUACAGUAAAGUUUAUUUUGCAACAUCAUACUAAGAUGAUAGGAAAGGAGUGGGGGGAUAAUUGUUCUGAAUCUGGGAACUCCAUGAUGUGCUUUAAAAAGAUAAAGGGUUUCAGACUAGAAUGAACACACUGAGGAAUUUGUCAUUCAUAAGCAGCAUGGCAGCAGAGCAGAACAAGAUACCUAUGCAUAGCUUCCUAGUAACGUGAGUGGCAACAGGAGGGAGUGCAGUGGAAUACUGGUGCCAAGAGCCAUACCAAUACUUGUUUUAAUGCUGGGUAUGUUGGAAAGUAAAUCACACUGCCUUAGAGCGUGUCCCUGUCCUCGCAACCCCUGUCAGCUGCUCUGCAGAACAGCUGAGCAGAGGAGGCUGUGAAAAUGUGACCCUUUUUUGAUGGAACAGAUCUGGAGGCUAUUAUGGGUUGUGUUACUUUCUUUUACAGUGCUUUUUGCAUAUUUGGGGGGAAAAAAAGGUACAUAAAGUAUAUAAAUAUAUAAAACAACUUUUUGUAUGUUUGCAGAAAAUACAGGACACAUGAGGCAUCCUACCUGCAUUUAUUUGUUCAUUAUACCAGACAUAGAUGAGAAGCUGAUAGCUUGAAUGGGUGGUAUUUCAUACACUCAGCAUGGGUGCACGUCUUUGAAACUCAGGCUAUAACCUCAGCUACAGGAAAAAAAGCUAAGUAUGAGUAACUCCUGUCUAGAUCCUUGCCUUGUACUGUGGCCAGAUGCAGACUGUAAUGCUGUAAAUUCAGAGUGGCUUAGACUGCUCACUCUCCCUUUGCUGCCUUUCCCUCCACAGAAGCAGUAUUCUGCCAUCCAGAAACAGCUCCUGCAAAAUGCCAUAGGAACAUUUUUCUAGUUUUCUGCCAUCCAAGGGCUUGAUAGUCGUACUCUAGAGCUGUCAUCAGAGAGCAGGAGCCCUCCUCCCUUCAUCCCUGGGGCUCUAAAACUGCCAACCUAGACUAAGGCUGCAGUACAGCAAUGUCCCCAGGUCUUCUUGAAUGUGGAAGAUGUAGAGUUCAGAGUUCACAAGUCCUAUAAGUCAAAUGCCUGCUCAGGAAACUCCCUUUUAAAAUGUGCAAAGCCCAUUUAAUGGAGUUCUGACUAGAGAAUUCCACACUCCAGCUACCUUUCAGAGAAAUGUGACUUUCUCAGUGAACUGUUUCUGGUCAUUUCCAUGUCACUGCUUCCAUUAUUUAAUUAUGUUUCUAAAAUUCCAGUCUUUUUGAAACAACAAAGCAUAUGAUGGUUUCUUGGUGUUUGGCCAACGGCUAAACAGAGUUAAGAAAAUGGGGGCUGUAGUCUGGACAGCUCAUGUCAUAUGUAUUUCCAUAACAGCCCAAGUUGGGUUAUCACUUACAGUCUGUCCUCGCCUUGUACUAGAAAGAAUUGUUCCAAUAGAAUUCUCCUAAUUAUUAAAAGUUAGUGAAAGAUCCACACACAGAGCUAUUAAAUUUGCCUGUUUUGAGAUACAAGUCAUGCAAAUGUAGAAGUACUUCCCUUAGGAGUUUGUAAAAGGAGCAUUGCUAGUAUGCAGCACAGACGGAAAACAGAUUAUCCCUUGGGUUUCAGAACUCCUAGCAGGUGUUCAUAGUUUAUAAAUGUAAGAAGUCUGAUUUAAAGAUUUUUAUUUCACUUUUGGUGGCAGCACUCGCUGUCUUAAACCUAAACUCUGAGAUCAUACUCUUGUAAAACAUUUAGUCCCGGACCUAAAAGCCUAGAGUAGGAAUGGGUAAGCAGAACUGUCUGUAUUUUUAGACUGAGAAAUUAAAAGGCUGAGUGACAUGUCCAAGGUCACCUGGCAAGCACAUUCUUUCAAACCAUUGCCCCAUAAAGAGAUCCAAAUUGUAGUUCUGCAUUUCUUCUGGGGUAACUCCUUUUUACAGCUGUGCUUAGAAAAGUGCAACUGAACUAUCCUUUCAGUUUUUAAAAAUAAUGAAGCUAGGAAAUCAAUCUGGAUUAAAAGGCUGGUAUACACCAAUCUAGUGAGCGGUAGUAAUGAGGAGCUGUGCUUUUCCUGUGUCUUUAGAUGAAGCAAUUUCAUGUUAUGAUGAGCAUUUUCAGGUCAAACUGAAAUCCUGCAACCAUCCAUAGUACUCAAACCGGGGAGCUUUGUUAGAAGUCCUCAGAACAGAUACCGACACUGUACGAGUUGCACGGGCAGGAAAUAGUAAGGUUACUUGAAAGUGGCUGUUAUGAUUUUGUGACUGUACAUAGAUCUUGCAAAAUGUUAAUGGUAAUAAUGCCUACUGUACCCCCCACGAACACUGCAAGGAUAGCAUGGUCAUUGUUAUGCUUUAUAGCUGUUGUGGAAAACGUCUUAACCUGCAUUCAUGAUUAUAGUGCCCAUCCUAUUCCCUCGCCUUUUUAUACAGUUGUGGUAAGAUUGUUAUGAGAUCCUUUUGUCAGUCAUGUUCAAGCUAACUUACCUAUGUAUAGAAUUUAUAUAUUAAACCCCCUCUAAUUUAUACUGUGUUUUAACAGU